UUGGGGAUUACCUUUCCCUCUGGAUAAUCUGUUUGGUGUCACCGAUCUGGUUUGUUUUUAAAAUACCUAGUACUCGACUAACCCUGGAGGACACCGUAUAACCGGUUAUUUUUAGAAUUAAAUAAACAUCUACUAUGAGUCACAAAUAAGGAAUAUCUGAUAAGAAGAUUCCCUAAAAUUGCAUUUAU
This is a long non-coding RNA of Pseudophryne corroboree (corroboree frog), 188 nucleotides long. RefSeq lists it as uncharacterized. The transcript is spliced from 3 exons. Lineage: Eukaryota; Metazoa; Chordata; Amphibia; Anura; Myobatrachidae. The record is from RefSeq and is a predicted model, not a curated record.